RNAcentral lists this unclassified non-coding RNA (56 nucleotides) under soil metagenome. RNAcentral's name for it is "partial internal transcribed spacer 1". The record is from RNAcentral.
CAUCGAUGAAGAACGCAGCGUAGCCACAUCGAUGUGGAAGUAAAAGUCGUAACAAG